ACAUGUAGGCACUUUGGUCAUUAAAGUGGUGGAGUAAUCUUUCUCCAAAGGUUCUCAAGGUUUUACUCUUAUCUCUUGAGCCUAAGAAUAAGAGUGGUGAUGGUCUUAUCCUCGGGAGAGAUUUCGUGUAACCCAAGGCUUAUAAGGGUCGAAAAACUCUUUUCGGAAAGUGGUAUCCACGAUUCCGUCAUGAUCCAAGAUCCCCCUAAGUUCUCUGGAACAUUGUUGUGCACGAAGUUCUCAACUUGGGUAUUAUAAAGAAAUGAUUCCUAAGGUUGUAGGGAUUUAAGUAGUCCUUUUGACACCCCUACUUCCUGGGAACACAAAUGAUUUUGUGUUCUAUCAACAAGGUUUCGUUUCUAGGAAAGGAACCUCCUUUCCGAUACCCAUUGUUGAGUCAAAUCUCCAACAUAACCCACUAAAUCCCAAGUCGUCCGUUGGAUCCAUCAAACGGCCUAGGCCCAAUCCCGACACCACAACUUCAUUUGGACUCGAGGCCCACAUGUUCAUUUACAUCUCUAUUUAAAUGGCAACCCACUUUCCGUCUCUUGAAUGAUCA
This 559-nucleotide long non-coding RNA is filed under the name Linum usitatissimum (flax). RNAcentral's name for it is "long non-coding RNA (LUSI_LNC003070)". The record is from RNAcentral. Lineage: Eukaryota; Viridiplantae; Streptophyta; Magnoliopsida; Malpighiales; Linaceae.